UGCUGAGUUAAUGAAUUGUAGCAACAAUAUUAGUACUAAUUUGACAAAUUGUUUUAACAACAUAAAAAUAAAUCAUUUUUCGGAAAUGGCAGUGGAGAAGUUUGAAAUGACUGAAAUGGAGAAUAAAGCUGGAGGAAAUAAACGAUUUCCAUGGACAUUGUGGUUUUGUGUCAUUACAGCUGAUCUGCUCAACGUUACCACGGGCCUCUCAAUGGUUUGGCCAUCAGCAGUGCUCGAAAUGCUACAUUCCACUGACCCCGAGGUAAAUCCUUUGCCAGAACCACUUAAACCUAUGGAACUUUCAAUAAUGAUGGCAUCAUCAGGAGUGGCAUCUUUAAUAAGUUUCUUCGUGAUGGCGAAAAUUUCAGAUCGAAUAGGAAGAAGACUCAGCAUGAGAUACCUAGGAAUUGUAUACGCCGGAACAUUUGUCGCGAUGGGAUAUGGAAGACGUGUAUAUGUUUAUGUUAUAACGUUUUUUAUAAAUGGGCUUGCAGCUGCUGGAAUCUUUAUAAACGUAUCUAUAUACACCGGGGAAAUUUCUGAUGACCGAAAUAGGGCUUUGAUAGGUUGCUUAUUCGGUCUUAUGACUCCUGUUGGAAACUUCUUGGGCUAUUCUUUUGCUGCCAUUUUAAAUAGCGUAAAGUUGUUUAGCCUUAUCUGCACAAUACCCGCAAUAGUACACGUUGUAUUAACGUUUUUUAUAGUUGAAUCGCCUACAUUUCUAGUAGGAAAGAACAAAAAGGACGAAGCUAUAUUAGUAAUAAAGAAGCUUAGACAUUAUACUAAUAUCAGUGAUGCUGAGAAGGAAUAUGAAAACAUUGUAAACUUUAAUUCUAGUUCUAAUAAGGAACAAAAAACAAUAUCAGAUCUUGUUCAUAAUCCAAUAUCGCGAAGAGCGUUAUUGUUGGGAUUUACAUUAUUAAGCGCACAACAAUUCACUGGUACUAACACAAUUAUAAAUUAUGUAGUCCCAAUCUUUAACGAAGCAGGAGCUUCCUUAUCCGGUACCGUAAUAAGUAUUUUGCUCGGUUUGGCUCAAAUGGUGGUAACAAUUGUAGCCACAUCAACUGUACACAAAUUUGGACGAAGACCACUGCUCCUACUAUCUUCUUGUAUGUGCACAGUAUUGCUGUUUUGUUUAACAUUUUACUUUUAUAUAAAAGACGUAAAUGUAUCCAUUAUAGAUAAUAUCCGUUGGUUACCAAUAGUCUGCGUGAUAACGUUCUUCGUGGGUUAUGGUUUAGGGUUAGCUCCGAUACCAGUCGUUUUAGUAGGAGAGUUAUUCCGCAAUGAAAUUAGAGCUGUGGCUUUAGCAGUAGUUGUCGUUGCUCAAUGUACACUAACAAUUAUUAUUAGUUUCGGUUUUCCAAUAGUCUCAGAGUCCUUAGGAAUUUAUACUUGCUUUUUGGUAUUUAGUAUUGGAACUCUUGUUUGUUUGGUUUUGAUAUACCGGUACGUACCCGAAACUAGAGGCAAAAGUUUUCAAGAGAUUCAGGAUAUUCUUAGUGGACUCGUUAAGUCGUGAUUGCACAGAGUAAAAAAAUUUAAAAUUUUGUAACUUUAAAUAACUGUAAAAAGCAAUAUCCCAGAGGACGGUAGUUCUCGCCAGUGGCGUACACCUCCCUAUAUGCAACACUAUAUAUACUGUCAACCAGACCGAAUUGAAAAAUGGGCCAAAUCCCAUCUUAAAGCUUAGUAGUAGACCAGCCAGUAUAGUCAUUCAUCUAGAGUGGUCUAAGGCUGUGAAUUUUAGGGCCCUCUGCAUUUGGAGUCCGUUUUUCGUUCUCGUCUCCAAAAUUCCACAAAAAUUUCUGAUGAUCGAAAUAGGGCUUUUAAUAGGUUACUUAUUCGGUCUGACGACUCCUGUUGGAAACCUUUUUGGCUAUUCGUUUGCUGCCUUCGUAAAUAGUGUAAAGGUGUUUAGUCUUAUCUGCACAAUACCCGCAAUAUUACACGUUCUGUUCACUUGUUUUAUUGUUGAAUCGCCUACAUUACUAGUAGGAAAGAACAGAAAGGACAGAGCUAUACAGGGUGUUAAAAUUCUGUCCAUUGCGAAUUUCUAGAACUGGUCAUAGGCGUCCGUUUUGGGUAUGGCAACGGAUAUUUUAUCGCAUAACUUUUUCGCCUUCAACUUUUAAGCACUUUUGAUACUGGAUUAUUAAAUUGUAAGCUAUUCUAGUACUAAAAGGUACUCUUGCUUUAAGUCGGUAGGACACACCGUUUUCUA
RNAcentral lists this unclassified non-coding RNA (2227 nucleotides) under Diabrotica virgifera virgifera (western corn rootworm). Its description in RNAcentral is "glucose transporter GlcP-like". The record is from RNAcentral. Lineage: Eukaryota; Metazoa; Arthropoda; Insecta; Coleoptera; Chrysomelidae.